GGGCCGGCUAGUGUCGAGCCUAACCCAACUCUAGAGCCCACGGUACUAGCCCUAGCCCAUCCCAGGCCCUAAUGGGCUAAAGAGGCCCUAGCAUUGGCCCUCACCUCUGGUUGAGCCGGCUAGGGCUAGGCUAUGGGUUAGGGUCGGCCCUAUAAGUUAAAGAUAAGUUACAUGUUUGCUAUGUGUAUAAUUGGUAUGCAAUUGGUGUGUUUAUGAACUUCACACUCUUCCAGAUAAUCAAAGUUUUUCUAUGGCACAAAUGUCAAAUAAGAUCAUUCAUCAACCAAGCAUAUGCCCCACCCAAUUAUCCACCAUAUGCAUGGAUUUUUAAAUAAGUGCAUCAAUACAAUGGUCGCCGUCUGAAUGGGGUCCACAUUUUGCACAGCUUUUAGUGCUUGUGUAUCGUCAAUCACACUUUGCCUUACCUUAAGGGCCUGUUUGAUUAUCCCAACUACCGCAAAUUGGAAGUAAAUACAACACUUAUGCCUUUCUCCCGCUGUUUGAAUAUCGACGACCUCAGCUGUUAUUCAGCCCUCCAAAAACAAGCUGAUAUCGUCGUAUCUCUACCCGUAUCGCUCGACACUUGAGCAUAAUCCCCGCAGGGGAUUUGACAAGAAGUUGGUGUGCAGGUGAACAGACUUGAAAUAUUUAUGGUGGUCCGCAAGAGUGCGUAUUUACAUAUUCUACACCUGAUUUCUAUAAACAGGCUCCAUUCGUACAACUCCUUCCUGGGCUUCUCUUCCUUGAGGAUGUCAACAAAUGUGGCUGCCGAUCCUUCCCACCACAGAUGUACAAGCAGUUGAUCCCGUCGGCAAUGUCAUGUGUAACGCUGUAGCUACGUCCGGUACCCACCAGCAUGGAGGACGACGAUCGCUAUUCCGCCAGUCCUCGCCUCCUUGAAGUCUGUUGGCAGUGUGCGACACAACAUGAAGAUCUUCUUUAAUCGGUGUCCUUCAACUCCAGCAACAACAUUCCGACUGUGAGAUAGGCACCGAUCGAAUAUAAUGCAUUCCAGCACGAUUUUUGAGUCAUUCUCCUUUUUUAUUUCUAAACUUAAUGGGAUCUAUAUUUGCUGAAAUUUCCUAUCCAACCAUUUCGUAAUAAAAUGGGUCUUCGUAUGGUGUCUAUGCAGUAGACAUUGUUUGGACUCUAUGUUAUGAUGUCUCCAUGAACAACAUCUGCAAAUGGGAUCUAUAAGACCCCUAUGGUGUACAGAUCUCAGUCACUACUGUUUAACAAAACCAGCAUGUUGUUCCAAAUGAAUAUUAUAUAAUAUGAUUGGUCUGUGUACUAUUCUUACAAUGUAACCACUUGAUUGGCCAGAGAGGUAUGCAUGAAGGGAAAAUACAUAUUAUAAACCCAAAUCCAACAGGUUCGAGUCCUUCGGCAAAAAUUCCAAAUUGGUAUAACUGAUGCUUUGGCUAGUAUGCCUCGGGAGAUAUGGAAUGUUCUGAAAAGUCCAUUUUUCUGGAUGUUUUGGAACACAAGUAUCGUUCAUCUUCCACCUUCGGGCCCCAAAUAUUGCAUAACCAUUGGGGUAUUGAUGGUAUGGAUCUCCAGAUCAUCUCCAUAUGUGGGUACCAAUGGGCACACCGAAGGAGAAUUUGUACAACUAGGAAGAUCAAGUUGUUUUGCGUGGUCUUUGUGGUUGUAAUUGGGGUAAGAGGGUCUAUCGUAGGUGGGUUAGUUGAGACGGAGGAUUCAAUGGGGAGGGCUCGACCCGUGAUUCUAGGGCCCACCAUGAUUUAUGUAUUUAGAUCACACUGUCUAUCCUUUGUAUCAGACAAUUGUAAGGGUUGAGCCGAGAAAUAAAACAUAUCCAGGGCUCAUUUAGACCACACCAAAGCCAACAGUGUUAUGUGAAAGUCUACUGUUGAAAACUUCCUGGGGGCCACAAGGGUGCUAGAUGAAUCUGACAUUUGUGUAAUCCCUUCAUCCAUGUCUGCGUGAUCUUAUGAGCAGUUUGGAUGACAAAUAUACCUCACUGUGGACCUUAGGAAGUUCCAACGGUUUUAAUCAUUAUUCCCACUGUUACAUGUGAUAUGGUCCACUUGAGCCCUGGAUAUGCAUCAAUUUUGGGUGUAGUACCAUAAAAUGGAGGGUGGAUAAAUAGAUGGACAAUGUGGAUAAACCACAUACAUUCGAGGAGCACAAUAGAGCUACGAUACAUUCGGUUCACUCAGCUGAAACAUGAUACGAGUGAUGCUACCACACCAUUGACCAUGAACAUACCCGCAUGGAUGUAUACACAAACAUUUUGUUCUAGUAUGUUUCCAAAUUCCGUUCCAUUGAAAUUAUGAUUAUAUUUUGUGAUUGAAUGUCGGUUCCGAUGGCGAUAUAAAUGUACCGUCAACUUGGUUAUACAUAUAUACUAGAAACACUGAACAACAAUAGGAGUCAACUCCUUCGGGAAUAUGGUAGCGUGUCUACUGUUGGAUUGGAAGCUGACAAAAAUUUAUUGCAUUUCUUUUACAAGAAAACAACAUAACAUGCCUGAACAUGGAUGGACAGAAGAGGAGAUGGCUGCAUUUGCAGCUACCGCUUCUACUGCAACGGUAGUUGUUGCGGUGGGGGAGUAUUGCCGCAGCCAUUUACUUUGCAAUCCAUGGAAGAGUGGGGAUAUGGAACGAGCCCGCAUAAUAAAUGGGAUUAUUAGAGCCUGGGAUAAUGAGUGCAAGGAGUAGUUGAGAAUGAACAAGGCUACUUUCAUCCACUUAUGCACCUUUCUUCGAUAUCACAAUGCACUACCUGAUGGGAAGCACCUUAGUAUGGAGGAACAACGGGUCAUGUUCUUCCAUAUAGUAGGUCAUAAUGUGCGCAAUGGUGUAAUUGGCCAUCGGUUCAAAAGGUCGGAGGAGACAGUGAGCCGAUAUUUCUUGAGGGCACUAGAUGUCAUCAUCUCAUUAUAUCCUGAGUUCGUGAAGCUUCCUAGCCCAAAAACACCACCAGAAAUAUCAUCGAACUCUAAUAGGAGCACAUAUUUUCUGAUAUGACCAGCUACAUAUAAGUUAAUUCAAAUUUGAUACUACCUGCCUAUCUUAUACACUAGAUAUUCAGCUAAUGCAUAAUUAAACAUAGGACUGUAUUGGCGCGACUAACGGAACACACAUACCUGCAUACAUCCCUAUGUUGGAGAGUAGGACGUACCAUAAUCGGAAAGGGAUUAUAUCACAAAAUGUUACAGAUUCUUACAUUUUUGAUAUGAAGUUCGCAUAUGUGCUUGCCAGAUGGGAGGGUUCCGCAUCCGAUGCACGCGUAUUACAAAGUGCCCUCACACAUCAUCAUGAUCAACUGACUAUACCAUCUAGUAUUGUGUCAAAUUGUUCGUCAUUUAGCCGUAUUUGUAGUGCUUUGUGUUGGAGCUAAUUCUUAAGUUGUUAAUAAUCUGUGUAGAAAAAUACUAUGUGGUAGAUA
Molecule: long non-coding RNA, 3414 nt
Organism: Magnolia sinica
Lineage: Eukaryota; Viridiplantae; Streptophyta; Magnoliopsida; Magnoliales; Magnoliaceae
Exons: 3
Source: RefSeq, a predicted model, not a curated record